UCUCUGGUGGUCCAGUGGUUAAGACUCUGCACUUCCAAUGCAGGGGGCAUGGGUUCAAUCCCUGUCGGAGAA
This 72-nucleotide transfer RNA is filed under the name Bos taurus (domestic cattle). It matches the Rfam family "tRNA". Rfam says of the family: Transfer RNA (tRNA) molecules are approximately 80 nucleotides in length. Their secondary structure includes four short double-helical elements and three loops (D, anti-codon, and T loops). Lineage: Eukaryota; Metazoa; Chordata; Mammalia; Artiodactyla; Bovidae. RNAcentral also lists the same sequence under 4 other names. The record is from Rfam by way of RNAcentral.